CAAAUUCUACGGAGUGCAUAUAUUUCUAUUCCAAGUCACUGAAGUUACGGCCAAAAUGGCUGGACAGUCGUCGUCUCAAACCCAAACAGAAACACUUUCCGAAAAAGAUAUCAACGAUGGGGCUCAGCGAAAAAGUCUGAUGUAUUCAUUGAAAACUAUGUCCCUGGCAAGCUGGCCGAAAUGGGCUUGGACUACAAGUCUUUGAGCGAAGCAGCACCAGGGCUGAUCUAUUGUUCGAUUACUGGCUAUGGCUCUGAAGGUCCGUAUGCCACUCGCCCAGGCUACGAUGUGAUUGCGGCUUCCUUGGGUGGUUUAAUUAAUAUAACAGGUCCCAAAGAUGGAGAGCCCUGCAAAGUAGGAGUUGCCGUCACUGAUAUGGCCACUGGUUUGUAUGCUCACGGAGCAAUAAUGGCUGCGCUGCUCCAAAGGUUCAAAACCAACAGAGGACAGUGGAUCCAAUGUAAUUUACUCUCUACCCAGGUCGCCAGCCUAGUUAAUAUUGCUUCUAAUUACUUAAACGCUGGUAAGGAAGCUUCAAGGUGGGGUACGGCACAUGAGAGUAUUGUACCUUAUGAAGCAUUCCCAACUAAGGAUGGAUUUAUUUCUGUGGGAGCUGGCAGUGACGUACAGUUUUUAGCCCUGUUAAAAAUGAUGAAUCUAACUAACUUGGAGAAAGAUCCCAAAUUUAGAACAAAUAUCGAUAGAGUAAAACACAGGGUAGAGCUCAUCAACAUACUUAGAGAUAACUUUAAGACCAAAACCAGUGAUGAUUGGUCUGAAAUUUUUCGAGAUGCUCCCUUUCCAAAUGGACGUAUCAAUACGAUUGGCCAGGUCUUUGACGAUCCACACAUUAAGCACAUAAAGUUGGUCAAAGAAAUGAUCCAACCAAGCAUAGGAAAGGUGAAAGUUGUCGGUCCGCCAGUGAGCUACAGCUAUGCUGACAAUUCUGUUAGAUCGCCACCCCCAAUUUUAGGACAGCACACCAAUGAAGUCUUGAAAAACGUUUUAAAGUAUUCAGAUGAGAAAAUAUCAAGAUUAGUGACUGAGAAAAUAAUUCAGUAAAUAACUGCGCUGGAAGAUUCAGUUGAAAUAUGAAAUUAUUUGAAUAUUUUCAGUAUUGUAAACACAAGAUAUACCAACUAUGAGAUUAUGUUUACGUAAGCCAAAAUCCAGUAAAAAAGUUCAGUGGACACAAGGAACUGUCGAUAAUGAGCAUAUGAAUAAAAAAAAGUCUAAAU
This 1238-nucleotide unclassified non-coding RNA is filed under the name Neodiprion lecontei (redheaded pine sawfly). Its description in RNAcentral is "succinate--hydroxymethylglutarate CoA-transferase, transcript variant X1". The record is from RNAcentral. Lineage: Eukaryota; Metazoa; Arthropoda; Insecta; Hymenoptera; Diprionidae.